Molecule: non-coding RNA, 1877 nt
Organism: Phalacrocorax carbo (great cormorant)
Lineage: Eukaryota; Metazoa; Chordata; Aves; Suliformes; Phalacrocoracidae
Source: RefSeq, a predicted model, not a curated record
GAUUUUAAAGUAUUUUUUAUAAAAGUACACUCUUUCAAUCACUUGUUAAAUACCCAGUGAUGAUAAUUUCCCAGAGCAGGAAUAUUUGGUUGUUCUUGCUGUCAUGAAGUACUUGAAACCCCCUGUUGCACAGCCAGACCUGAUCUGUAUUCGCCCCACGACCUCCGGCUCCGGGAGCGUCACUGCUAUCGUGCCAGAGGUUUAUUUGCUUUCACCUUCUCCUGAUGCCUCUCGGUGGAUGAUCCUGAAAGAAAUAUCCAGCCGCUGGUGAAGCAGCGGUGCUUAACGCUGCUCGGCGUGUGAAACACGGGCCCAGGAGGAGAUGGAAAGUGGGCAACAUGGAUUUUUGCCAAAACGACGGCUGGACUUUAUGCAAAUCUCCAAGAGCCGGGCCCUGGAGUGAAGGAGAAUCUGAUAAUGCAGCUGCCAGAUCAAAACUGGCGGUUUCCUUGGGGUGCAAACAAGAUGGUGCAACUGAAAUGAAACUCUCAUGUUGCUGGAGACAAUAAAAGGACUCAUCGGAGACACCCGCAGCAGCAGAAGUAACCAUCUGAUCGGUCACUUGACAGCAGUACUAGGCUGUAAUGGCCGGGGGACACGGCGGCUGCCCACCACCCUGCAGCCCCACCACUGCCGCCUCAGCAGUGCGCUUCGCCGAACCAUGGGGCUGCCACGGGACCCCCCUCGUGCAUCAGGACUCGCUGGCCGGGACGUGCUCGCAGAGAGAGAAUAGUUAUUCUGAUACUGAUUCCUAAUACCAAUGUGAACACUGGCUUCUUUCAGAAGUGAAUUCUCAAAAAUGCUGGGAGAGGUCUGGAAUGGAAGGUCACUUUACUGAGACUGUUGAUGAACCUCAGCGUUAUUUCAUCCCAUUCCUCAGGGAGCAGCAUCAGCAGAAACCCAAUGCAAAUGAUGAUGGUGGCUCCCAACCUCACUACACUGAAGAUCAUUUUGUGCUUCAACAGAUCCACAGCUGUGAAGAAGAAACAACAACGCCAUCAAAACUGCAGCAGGGUGAUCUACAGCCCGGCACGUCUCUGUGACCUGCGUGCUGCACUCUGGCUGUGAUAUUGGCCCCAUCGCUCUCGGUCCUCUAGAGUGACCAGCUCCUUGAGUUCAGAGGACAGCUUUGACCUGACAGCGUGGUACUGGAAGCGCCACAUCUCACUGCCUUCAUGCAGGCUCUGAGGAAGCCUUGUAGGACCCGUCUAAGCCUCAAAGUUUCCAUUUCUGCUCUGAGAGGGAAGGUACUUUACGGUAACUCUAUCUACAGCAGGCUGCAUCACCAUGAUGUUUCCUCGGGCUGCACGGACCAGUGAUGGGGCGAGGGCAGCAUGCAGGUCAGAAAGCUGGAUUCGACGCCUCCAGGCCCAGCCGCCCAACUCCACAACAGCACAUCUGAGCCCUUCAGCAGCCUCUUACAGGUACUGACUGUUUCACAGCUCUGACCUGCAUUUCCCUAAAAAUAGAUUUUCUUUGAAAAUAUGCUGAAAUAUCUGGAGUGGCGAGGCUAAGAGGGUGAAGGGAGGAGGAGGAGACAAGCUAGGAUUCGGGAGUGAACUUCCACCUAUAGCCCCUGCCCUGCUGCUGCGCGGCAAGUCAGCAGCACCGGCUGAGCCACAGCAGCAGCACGCUGACCCCGCCACGUCUCAGCAGCAACCAGCUUUGGGCUGCUGGCUGGGGAUCCGCCUGCCCUCUCCUCUGCAUCGUACAGAUGCAUCCCCUCGCUCCCAGAGAAAGGAGGCAAGACAAAAAGAAAAGGCUUUUACCACCAUCACCAGGAGCAUCCGUAGAAGCUCAAGGAGACUGAACUGCUUUUGAAAUACGUGACAACAGAUUUUGACUAUUUAGACAAUAAACCGCUUCCGCUGCCUGCA